RNAcentral lists this ribosomal RNA (460 nucleotides) under uncultured bacterium. Its description in RNAcentral is "partial 16S ribosomal RNA". It matches the Rfam family "Bacterial small subunit ribosomal RNA", at positions 338 to 795 of the family's 1533-position model. The record is from RNAcentral.
CCUACGGGUGGCAGCAGUGAGGAAUAUUGGUCAAUGGACGAGAGUCUGAACCAGCCAAGUAGCGUGAAGGAUGACUGCCCUAUGGGUUGUAAACUUCUUUUAUAUAGGAAUAAAACAGGGCAUGCAUACCCUCUUGUAUGUACUUUAUGAAUAAGGAUCGGCUAACUCCGUGCCAGCAGCCGCGGUAAUACGGAGGAUCCGAGCGUUAUCCGGAUUUAUUGGGUUUAAAGGGAGCGUAGGUGGAUUGUUAAGUCAGUUGUGAAAGUUUGCGGCUCAACCGUAAAAUUGCAGUUGAUACUGGCAGUCUUGAGUACAGUAGAGGUAGGCGGAAUUCGUGGUGUAGCGGUGAAAUGCUUAGAUAUCACGAAGAACUCCGAUUGCGAAGGCAGCUUACUAGACUGCAACUGACAUUGAUGCUCGAAAGUGUGGGUAUCAAACAGGAUUAGAUACCCGGGUAGUC